Homarus americanus (American lobster) is the source of this 3223-nucleotide long non-coding RNA. RefSeq lists it as uncharacterized. The transcript is spliced from 3 exons. The record is from RefSeq and is a predicted model, not a curated record. NCBI's taxonomy places the organism in Eukaryota, Metazoa, Arthropoda, Malacostraca, Decapoda, Nephropidae.
AGGCAACAGAGAAUCCCGGACUAAUCAUAUUUGGUCCAAGGUGUAGUGCGUGGAACACUCCCGCUAAAAACACACUCUUCCCGCUCCCCACCGUCACAGUCUACUGCAAAAAGAAAUUCUCCCCGAAACUAUCUCCAGCCCUGGUCCCGUCACCCACAACACAACAUCAAACAGUGGCCAACGUUACGGGAAAAACAAACAAAAAAUCUUGACGUUUCAAAGACCUGCAACAACAGGAUCAAACGACGGAGCUUUUAGCGUUGGUCUGAAACUUGGUCCCACCACCGGCCCGCACCACAGCCGUCCUACCCACCGUCGCUCUCCGUCACAGUCGUCCCAUCCGCGACUCCUCCAGCAGUCAUGUCUCGCGGGAUGAUCAACGUGUUCCUGGUCGUGCUCGGCGUCGUUGCCCUCUCCUCCCGUUGCCCUCUCCUCCCAGGCCUGGGGCAGCUGUUCGCAGUUCGGACACUCGUGUUUUGGCGCGCACGGCAAAAGAGACGGUGACCAAUAUGCGCGCCAGGAACCCUCACCUCUUUACCCUGAGGCCAACCAGCUACCAGAAUUCGAACAGAGGCAAGAGGAUCGCCUCUCAGUGGACGAGGCAGUCACCGACCGAGAAAUCGUCGCCAACGCCCGAAACUGGCUGGCUGUCCUCAGUCACCGUCUCCGCCAGAGGACGUCACCACAGUCAUCCCCCUCCGCGCAGUCCCUCGGCUACUUCCAGUAAACACUACGUCUUCGUCGUCGAUGUCGUACCAGCUGCCUUCUCCAAAUAUACACGUCCCAUCAGCUACCCUCGACGACAGAAGAAACGACUUCUAGUUCCAGUAACAUCAUGGGAUUGUGACGUCUUGUUUUCACAUCAGAGGGAAAAACAGACAUAAAAAUGUUGACAUUGUUGCGUUGAACCCUGAACCAGGCGUCUCAGUUCCUCUAUUUAUAAAAGAUUUUUCUAAAAACUGAUGAUUAAAGUCUACAAACUGGGACAGUAACACUAAAACCAGAGGAGGUUUAUCUUAGUUAAAUUUUAAGGGAAACUCGCGACAUUGCAGCCGACGAUCAUAUGGAUAAAUAUUGUAGCAUUCUCCAUGAGUAGACUCUGGUAUGCCCUCACAACUCGCCUCACAGUUAUCACCGCUCAAGUUUUGAAAUCAGAUUUCAUUUCCCCCUUUAUUCUGUUUUUUCUCCUCUUGUUUAUCUUAGUCGAUUUUUUGUGUGUGUUAUUCCCAGGCCUGCUACCUUCACCUGAGCCUUCUAUUAUCUUUUGUCUCAUGCUAUUGACCUUUUCUAAUUGAGGCUGAACCAGAAUGAUCCCUCUUCCAUCUUCAGCACUAAUGUCCCUUUCUCCCCCCCCCUUCUCUCCCUCCUCCCAUUGUUUCAUCAGCAGCCAUGCAAAUAAUUUGUUGAAAAUCUUUUAUAAAUACUGCUAAAUUAAGUGCAUUUGGAAACAAUAGAUAAUGUACAGUAUAUUAGAAUACUAAAAAAAUUAUCAAUAUUGAAGACAACCAGCAUUAUUAAAGGUGUGAAGUUAACAAUCUCGUCCAAGGAUCAGGAGUGAAACAUGCCGCUGACAUUGAUAGCUUGAGAGAAAAGAUGUACGUCACUCCUCGUCAGCAGAGCGUAUUGUGUGUAUUGUGUGGAUGGGUGUAGGUGGUAAGAUAUCGACGUUUGAUUGUUUAGAUUGGUAGUGUUGGCUGGCAAGUUGAAGUAUCAAACAAUGGGUGUCUAUAUAAGUCAACAUCUGUGUUUGAUGUCUAUCCCUUAGUGAUCGUCAUAACGUUCCUGCCCCAGAGACCGUUUCAACGUUCCUAUCCCGUUGUCUAUGUUCCAACGUUCUUACCCCCAGUGUCUCUGUUUCAACGUCCGUGUGAAUGACCUUGUCUUAACAUGACUAUUUCAAUGUUCCUGUCCGUAAACAAUAACCUGAACGUCUCAUCGUUUGUACCCGCCAAAUAACGUGUUACUCCUUACCGGCUGUUUCCUCAACUUUCAACUAAUUUACUCACUUAGCAUAAUCUUUUAACAUAUUCUACGUACUCCACCAUAGCCCAAUUAUUAUUAUUAUUCGUUCAAUCAUUUCUCAGCUCUAUAGAUUCCUUUCCUUCUCCCUCCUUAUAAUAUAAUCCCUCGCAUUCAAAAUAAUCGAGGCUGGAGGUUUGACAAUUGUUCGACACACGGACAGCCCUACGAUUGCACAUAUCAUCUCCCCCUCACACACUCCCCUUAACACCCCUUUUCCUCUUUCUCCUUCUAUUUAUCCCACAACAUUCCCUUCUCCUUCUCUCCCUCACCACCACCGAGAAGCCGACUUACAACCACCACAACAACACAACCAUUCCACUUAUCCUAGGUCGUCUGUUAUUGUUUAGAAGUGUCCUUAUACUAAACUCUUAUUACAGUUUAUCAUCCAUCGCUCUCUAUAUAUUGAUUCUACUAUAUUUAUGACGAUUAUUGUCUUUCUCUGCAUUGUAUUGUGGUUUUAAAUCUCCAUCAAUUGUAAUGGAGGUUUUUCUUCAGUUACCUCAAUAAAAUUAUGUAAUUUCAUCUUGCCCUGAAGAUAAUUUGCACCUCAAUAUUAUUACUUUAUGUAUUUAUAUAAAUUAUUUGGUAUAUCUAAAGAGGUUAUUUAAGGUAUUUCUAUGAAUAAUUGUUUAAAUAAUUAUGAGAUGAAAUGUUAAAAGUCGACGUUUUAUUUGUUCAAUCAAUUACGUUAAAUUGUUAACAGUGGAAUUUGACUUUUGAAUUAUAUGAGGGCUUUUAGGUAUUUAUUAAUUAAAAUGUAGUGUUUAGAGUGUGACUGAAGAUGGGAGAGGGAGUUAUAGUGAAAUUAUUUCAUUUGUUUAUAUAGUGAUUGAUAUACCAAAAAGCUAACUUCUCUGGGAAAUAUCAAUGAAGCUUCUCAAAGGUAAUUAAUUAUUUUUCUUAAUUGUACUUUUAGUUUAUUGUUAUCUCUCACGCAUAAUUAUUUUUCUAAAUGUAUUUUUUGGUUAUAUCAUUGUUACUGUACUCGUCAUUCCUAAAAAUACCCCCCCCCCCCAUCCAUUAUAAGGGAAUACGCUGCGUUAUACUAGGCUACAAUAAUACUAUAAUGAUCGAGGCUAUAAUUAUACAGUAUUGUAAACAUAUCAUAGGGGCUGGACAAUACCUACUGUAUUUCACUAUGGCUGUAAUUUCAAUGUAAACCUGAUGCUGUAUUAAUAAAUCCAUCGGAAAUUUGUGGUCA